This is a non-coding RNA of Carcharodon carcharias (great white shark), 954 nucleotides long. The record is from the annotation of a RefSeq genome assembly. Lineage: Eukaryota; Metazoa; Chordata; Chondrichthyes; Lamniformes; Lamnidae.
CUCAGCAGGCUACGCAUAUGUGAAAGUCUUCGGCACCGGGACUAAACUCAUUGUCACAGACAAACUUGCUGUGAAACCAACAAUUCGCCUUUUCCCACCCAAUUCCACGGAAAUGAAGAGUAAGAAAAAAGCCUUGGUGGUCUGUCUCCUGACUGGAUUCUUCCCCGAGGUCAUCAGAGUUGAGUGGACAAUCGAUGGUGAGGGGAAAGCUAGAGAGGAAAGAGUGUUCACAGACCCAGUGGUGAAACAGGGGAACGAUGCUUACUCGGUGAUCAGCCGCCUGGAAGUCACCGAGCUCCAGUGGGAAAGCAAGAAUAUCAACUGCAAAGCGGACCAUGAAGGAGGCUCAGGGACUGCAAUGAUCAACAAGGACUAUAAAACCGAUAUGAAAAAACCUUCAGCUCCCACGUGUCCGCCCCCUGUUUCGGAAGCAGCAGAGAACGCGUCUGAAGUGCUAUCGGAACCGCCUUUGAACGCGCUGCAGGUAGCUACCUUUACAUACACACUGCUGUUAAUGAAGAGCGUGGUUUACUGCGGCAUCAUCUCCUUCGUCCUUUACAGGGUGGAGUACCGUGACACCAAGAAGCCACUUUAACCGGUACCCAUUGACCUCUGUUUUAAGAUUUUGAUCUAUUUGGCUCCCUUUGCCUGUUUCUACCCAGAGAUUAUACUCAAUGUUGUCAGUUUAGGAACAGUUUACAACUGUCAGGAGAGGGGUUUAUCUUCGGGUUCGUGUGUGGAUAAUGAUCAGACUGUCUUCAGAUAAUUAACUCUGUGUUCAUCAAAUUAAUGUGUUGUUUCUGUAGCCUUAGUUGAUUUUUAAGUGUUUGUUACUGUCCAAUCCAAUGCUGCCUUUUUUGAAUAAUUUGCUACAAUUAAAUUGUUAUAAUUCUCUUGUAACUUUACGUUAUAAAUUCUGCAAAUUUGACAAUAAUAAAACAUCUUUCAAACGUA